CCUACGGGUGGCAGCAGUGGGGAGUAUUGGACAAUGGGGGGAACCCUGAUCCAGCCAUGCCGCGUGUGUGAAGAAGGCCCUCGGGUUGUAAAGCACUUUCAGUGAGGAAGAACGCCUGGUGGUUAAUACCCAUCAGGAAAGACAUCACUCACAGAAGAAGCACCGGCUAACUCCGUGCCAGCAGCCGCGGUAAUACGGAGGGUGCGAGCGUUAAUCGGAAUUACUGGGCGUAAAGCGCGCGUAGGUGGCUUGAUAAGCCGGUUGUGAAAGCCCCGGGCUCAACCUGGGAACGGCAUCCGGAACUGUCAAGCUAGAGUGCAGGAGAGGAAGGUAGAAUUCCCGGUGUAGCGGUGAAAUGCGUAGAGAUCGGGAGGAAUACCAGUGGCGAAGGCGGCCUUCUGGACUGACACUGACACUGAGGUGCGAAAGCGUGGGUAGCAAACAGGAUUAGAUACUCCAGUAGUC
RNAcentral lists this ribosomal RNA (465 nucleotides) under Vreelandella stevensii. Its description in RNAcentral is "partial 16S ribosomal RNA". It matches the Rfam family "Bacterial small subunit ribosomal RNA", at positions 338 to 795 of the family's 1533-position model. The record is from RNAcentral. Lineage: Bacteria; Pseudomonadati; Pseudomonadota; Gammaproteobacteria; Oceanospirillales; Halomonadaceae.